Molecule: long non-coding RNA, 2860 nt
Organism: Brassica rapa (field mustard)
Lineage: Eukaryota; Viridiplantae; Streptophyta; Magnoliopsida; Brassicales; Brassicaceae
Source: RefSeq, a predicted model, not a curated record
AAAAAAAAGAAUAAAACUUAUUUUCCUUUCAAAAAAUGAAUACAGUCCUUUGUUUUUUAACUUAUCUAAUCUUCGUUUCAUCAUGUAUGUCAAAUAUCAUGGCAAAACCCAACUUAGGCGGACAUGGUAUUACUUUUAAGCUUGCAGAAAGCCCUCAAAAUGUCAAUUUUGAAACUGUUCUCAAAACGAAAAAUGCCAAUUUUGAAACUGAAUAUGAUUUUUGUGGUAGAUGUGUUCAUAGUUGUAUAAGAAGAUACAAAUAUGUGCAAAGCUGUGAAAACUUUAUUUGUCGUUGUACUCGUUCUUUUAUAUUCACUGGUCCAUGAAGCCAUAACGGAUGCCGAGUAUGAAUGAAUUAACUACUUUUGGUGUGUUUGAUUGAAUUUUGUGGAAUAUCUGGAAAAAUACACUUUGAUAUUCAAAACAAUUCUAUGAGAAUCUUGUAUCUUCGUCUUAGUACAUAUACUAGUCUUUUUCCUUUUAAAAAUAUCAAAUACCAAAAAUCAUACAUAUUUCCAAUCGCCAAAAUAAUACAGUUUAUGAUUACAAGAGUGGUCUUCAUCUCAUCUUCUUGCUCAUAAACAUUUUUUUCUAUUUUAUGUGGUUCUUCGUGUAUCAUUGGUUUAACAGACUUCAGAUGUAAGUUAAUGUUUGGGAUACCUAGUGCGGUGCAUUUGCAAAAUGAAACCGUGUUUUCAAAGUUCUGGGCCGACUCAACCUCAAUAUUUUUCAAGAGUGUACACUUUCGUUUUUAUGGUUUAUUUUUAGUUUUGGUUCAUUGGUUUUCUAAAAACUGAAACCAUCAUAUAUUAGAAUAAAUUAACCAUACAUUUUAGCAGAAAAAAGACUACCAAUUGGUGGAACAGAAGCAAAUAAACAAACUACAUUUUACCAUGAGGAUCAAAACCCAUAUAAGAAUCAUAUAUAAUAAUAGGGGUUGACAGGCGUGUCUUAUACACUAUAGGCACAUGAGGUUGGGUGAUACAAAUUAUCAUGUGACUAGUUAACAAUAAUUUCAUUUUGAAAGGUUGUUUCUCGCAUCUCGAAUUCAAUCUAAUAUAUAUUUAAUUUUAACAAUGACUAGAUUUUGAUCCGCACUUUCAAAGUGCGAGAUUAUAUUUGAAACAAAUCAAAUUUAUAUGAUGUAAAUUGGUACUUUUGAAUGCUACACAUGAAAUAUUAUAUUCAGUAUUUUUAGAUCCGACCCGGACCCGCAGUUAUACUAGCAAAACCGGUGACACGAUACGUAAUACAAUUUGUUUUUAAGAAAAAAUGUUAUUUAAGAAUUCUAUAAAACCUGCAAAAGAUUGCUAAAACCCGGAAUCUGGCUACCGAUUGAACUCAUGGGUGAUCCAAUAUGUAAUCGAAUUUUACUUAAAUUGUUAUAUUUAAAGUAUUUUAAUUCAUGAAUAUUUAGAUGAAUGGUUGAUAUUUUAUGAAUGCGAUAUUCCAAUUUUACAAAAGAUAGAUAUACAUAUUUUUAGUCAAACUAAUUUUUUAUCUUGUUUUAAGUGUAAUGGAUCAACAUUUGAGAGGCUGCAUGCUAAAAAUAGAAAUAGAUUUGAGCAUCAACAAUUCGUAUACGUCUACUACAAUUUAAUGAUUUACGUUAGAAAAAUAAAAUCGUUUUAUUUAUUUAUUCAGUUUUCUUUUUUUCACAUAUUAUUAGAAUUUUUUUGAUGUUUGGUUUUUGGUUUAUUUUCAAUUUAAAAGUUAGUUUUUAUUAUUCACAUUAGAUAUUUAAAUAUUUAUUAAUUUUAAUUUUGUUAUAUAUAUUUAUAUUUUAUUAUAUAUCUAACUCCUAAUUUAUUACAGUUUUAUAUAUAUAAUUAUACUUAAAAUUAAUUAAACUAUUGACCCAUACUCUUUUGCAUCAAUUUAUGUUAAUGUAAUGUUUUAUGAUAUAAUUGUGUUAAUAUAUUUUCAAUUAGUUAUAUUUGACAAGUAUAUUACAUGUCUUUUCGAAUAACCCGUAAAAACUAUACUCAUAAAAAUAUUAAUAAUAACAUGUUUCAUCUUAUUAAAUAUUAAUAGUAGCUAAUUAUUAAUUUUUUUAUCAAAAAUUUAUUUAUAUAUAUAUAUAUAUAUAUCUAAUUUUAAUACUAACUAUAAGAAUUAUAUUUUUUAUGUAUGUGGUGAGGAUAUUGAAGAAUUUAUUUCUUGCACUUAAAUUAAUGUACAGUUGGUAUAUACACGAAUUAGUAGACAGGGGUCAUUAUUUAUUAUACUAAUAAAUAAAAUAUAAUUGAUUAGUUACUUAAAAUUAGUUUAAUAACCUUACGAACACAUGUAUAAACGAAUCUGUUCAAAAUGGGUUAUAACCAUUGUAUAAUUGAUCAAUACUCACAUGUAGAACCAAAUUGAUAAAAAAAUCCCGAUUUUUAUUAGUGAAAUAUAAACUUAAUGGUCGUAAAAAAAAAUUUGAUGUAUGUCUAAAAUAUUAAUCCAAAUUACAUUUAUGCUAACUUAUUAGUCUUAUUAUUUUAGUCAAUCAAGUAGUCCUUAUCAAUUAUUUAGUAUAGAUGGAUCAAAUAAAGAAAGAUCAUAUAUAUGAUCUACUGAUAGAUAAUUAUACAUAUAAAUAGAACUGAAAAAUUAAUAGUUAUAUAGAAAAUUUUCUAAGUAGCUCACAAAAAUAAUUUUGGUUAUGCUAAGAUUCCUAAUAAAGUGCAUAUUGUUUAAGUUGUUAAGAGAUCAAAGAUAUAAAGUCAAAAUCUAAUGUUAUAGAAAACUUUAUAGUACAAUUAAAUUCGAAAACAAAUCUUGGAUAAGAUCUAAAAAUAAAUAUUUACAAUCUAGUAUGCAAAAACUGAAUCUAACAAAAUUUUAGCAGAAGAAACUGAAACAUAUUAGUAAAAUA